AUUGAACGCUGGCGGCAUGCCUUACACAUGCAAGUCGAACGGUAACGGGCCUUCGGGUGCCGACGAGUGGCGAACGGGUGAGUAAUACAUCGGAACGUGCCCGAUCGUGGGGGAUAACGAGGCGAAAGCUUUGCUAAUACCGCAUACGAUCUACGGAUGAAAGCAGGGGACCGCAAGGCCUUGCGCGGACGGAGCGGCCGAUGGCAGAUUAGGUAGUUGGUGGGAUAAAAGCUUACCAAGCCGACGAUCUGUAGCUGGUCUGAGAGGAUGAUCAGCCACUCUGGGACUGAGACACGGCCCAGACUCCUACGGGAGGCAGCAGUGGGGAAUUUUGGACAAUGGGCGCAAGCCUGAUCCAGCCAUGCCGCGUGCAGGAUGAAGGCCUUCGGGUUGUAAACUGCUUUUGUACGGAACGAAAAGCCUUCUUUUAAUACAGGAGGGUCAUGACGGUACCGUAAGAAUAAGCACCGGCUAACUACGUG
RNAcentral lists this ribosomal RNA (482 nucleotides) under uncultured bacterium. Its description in RNAcentral is "partial 16S ribosomal RNA". It matches the Rfam family "Bacterial small subunit ribosomal RNA", at positions 30 to 507 of the family's 1533-position model. The record is from RNAcentral.